UCCUGUUGUAGGACUCAGGCUCCGUGUUCGUCGAGAAAUCCGCCGGGAACACGGGGGAUCUCAGCUGUACCCUCAAGGGGCUUACGUAAAGUUGUAAACAAUAAACGAAGGCAAACGCAUUAAGUCAAAAUAUGACUGGUGUUUAAAGAGUUUGAGCUCCAUGAGGGUGACUGUGUGGUCCACAGCUGUGAUUUCUGACAUCUGUCUAGUACAGUAGGUGUACAUGGAGAAGAGCAGCAUGGGUGCAGAAGGGAUUAUGAUCCCCUUUACAUUUGAGAAAACUGAGGCUCCGAGAGGUUGGUACACCUGCUCAGGGUCCCCGACUGAUCCA
Molecule: long non-coding RNA, 331 nt
Organism: Lynx canadensis (Canada lynx)
Lineage: Eukaryota; Metazoa; Chordata; Mammalia; Carnivora; Felidae
Exons: 3
Source: RefSeq, a predicted model, not a curated record